This 992-nucleotide long non-coding RNA is filed under the name Anser brachyrhynchus (Pink-footed goose). RNAcentral describes it as "lncRNA (ENSABRG00000014654.1)". Lineage: Eukaryota; Metazoa; Chordata; Aves; Anseriformes; Anatidae. The record is from RNAcentral.
UUCCAUGUGCUUAAGGGAUAGCAUACAGCAUGCUGUCUGCCACAGUAGUUUGUUUGCACUGAAAUUAAGCAAUAAUGAUUGAGGCACAGAGCAUUUCCUGGGGAUUAAUGACCGCCUGAGAGGAACUGAUGGCCCAAAGAACAGCUCCUGGCCAUUAACCCCAGCCAGUCAUUAAUCCAAAGGAAAUGCCCUGCCCCAAGGUCGUUAUUACUCCUAGAAAAUGAAAACGAAGAAAAACAAACCCGUAAGGACCUAGGUAUUUGUUCUGUGUGGUGAAGUUUCAAAUCAUUUUGUGUGUGCAGAUUUUGAUAAAACAAAUACUUUACCAGUUAUUUAGCUGGAGUGCUCGGUUCUGUCUAAAGCAUCUUGAUAUCAUCUAGACCUACAGAGUUGCCAAGAGGCUAACAGGAGAAACAUGAUCUUCUUUUCACCUUUAUUAAUCUGUUUCUCAGUACGGAAUGCAACUUAUAUUUAAUUCUAAUGUGAUUUAAGCAAGGUGAACUUCAAGAGUAUGGCAACAAUUCAAGGAAAAGAAACUGAUGAAGAUAAAGGUUCACAAAGAAGUUGAGGAACAAGAACCGUGAGCAGCCAGAUUCCUCUGAGCCAGCGUGGUGAUGGCUGCAGCCUCUUCUCUCCUUGAGCACAGACGCAGACCCAGCUGAGGGGAACUACUUGCAAGCUGUUGAGGGAGCCACAAAUGCGUAUUUGUUACUUCCUCACUCUGUGAAAAGGAACCAAACCUCCAUUGGAAAUGCCAUGCUUCAGCCAGUGCAGACUGCAAUGCAGAGGCUCAGAAUGUCCUACAAACGAGACUUAGAGAGAUACAAAACAAAGAAGUGAAGAUGUGUAAGACAAUGCCUACAUUCAUCCUGCUGUUUACAGCACUUCUAAUAAUCAGACUUGAAGAAUAAGUCAGUCUGUUGUAUUUAAAGAAAUCCCUUGCAAGUACAGAAAGAGACACAUGCCAAUAAAAGGUAAGGCUUCUUUUUGCA